Molecule: ribosomal RNA, 1023 nt
Filed under: Triticum aestivum (bread wheat)
Lineage: Eukaryota; Viridiplantae; Streptophyta; Magnoliopsida; Poales; Poaceae
Description: partial small subunit ribosomal RNA
Source: RNAcentral
AUGCGGCUAGUACUUCAGGCCAGAGCACUAAUAGCUGUGAUUCAGGCAUGGGUCAUGUUCAUGAACAAGAGAGUUGUUCGUCGUGUUAAGAGAUCUCUCAUCAGAUAUGCUCCAAUGCUUAUGUGGGAGCAGGAGAGGAUCUCCAAUCUGAACUACAUAUACGACUGCAAUGACACAGAUGCUCUGAUGCUUAGAAUGAAAAGAGCAUCAUUUGCCAGACUUGUUCACACUUUCAGGACCAGGGGGCUGCUAGAAGAUAGCAUCCACACCAGUGUGGAGGAGCAAGUCGCCAUGUUCCUUCAUAUUGUUGGCCAUAAACAGAGGUUCAGAAUUAUCCACAACAUGUUCAGGAGGUCAAUGGAGACCAUCUCAAGGUACUUCAAGCAAGUGUUUUAUGAUGUUGGGGAGCUCAGAGGAGAGAUGAUCAAGUCAACAACUGGUCGAACUCCUACCAAGAUUCGCACAAGCCCAAGAUGGUAUCAGUACUUCAAUGAUUGCAUUGGGGUAAUAGAUGAUACGAAUGUCACUAUCAGAGUGCCGAGGUCACAAGAUGUAGCAUUCAGGGGGAGAAAGCACUGCACAAGCCAGAAUGUGCUUGCUGCUGUUGAAUUUGAUCUGAAGUUCACCUAUGUGCUGGCUGGCUGGGAAGGGUCAGCAUAUGAUGCUAACAUACUCAGUGACAACAUAAGUCAUCCUGAUGGCAUCAACAUCCCUAAUGGAAAUUUCUACCUAGGAGAUGUUGGCUAUGCAUGUCGGGUAGGUGUACUUUCACCCUUCAGGAAAACGAGGUACCAUCUGAACGAGUUCCCUGGUAGAAACUACCCUAGGACUCCACAUGUGUUGUUCAAUCUCAGACACUCCAGCCUUAGAGUAAUGGUUGAGAGGGCAUUUGGAGCUAUCAAGAACAGGUUCAAGAUCCUGGAUCAGAAGCCAUUCCACCUUUACCCUACCCAGGAAGAGGUGAUGCCUGAUGAUCUUGACCUCGGUGGCCAUGGUGUUGAGGCAUUUGACAACGAAGCCUAA